UAUCUGGGCGUGGAACGAUCGAACAGAGAGGAGAAAGAAAGGGGUGAAACCCUAAUUCAUGAGCAGACCUUCAAAUUGAAAGGGGAAUUGAAGCCUAGUUGAAUGCAUGAACUAAGAAUGAUGAUCCUCUAAGCAUACCCAACAUCAAUAUGAAUGUAUGUUGGUUGGAAUUCAUGUUGAAAUUGGUCAUGGAACGUGUCAAGGAGAGGUCAAGCAUAGGAGGAUAACGGGUCAAGAUAAGGCAAGGUGACAAAUACACUUAUUGGAGUACUCGAGGUAUGGGAUCGUUGGCUUCAUGAAGAAAUGGAGCUGGAUUUGGAUAAGAGUAUUUAAGAAAGCGCUUGGACAAUUCCACGACUACUUUAUAGAAUGCUCUACGAAAUUCUAUUAUAUAGUUUAAUGUUGUAUGGUAUGUUAAUGACUAAUGGUUUGGUUGUACGUGGUGUCCACAGGUAUCGCUUGGGUUUUCUCUACAUUUAUUGAAGUCAUGCGGACUUAGUUCGAGUUGAGAGCAAGGAUUGUACGGGGAGAAUGGUCACAUAGUGUAACUCAUAUAGGUUUUGAAGUAUUAAUGUUAUAAAACGUUAUAAAUCCGUUUUAAUGAAUAUAUGGCAUUUCGCAUCUGAACCUUCAUGUGUUUGAUAUGUCUAUUAAAGAACGAAAUUUUUGG
RNAcentral lists this long non-coding RNA (670 nucleotides) under Helianthus annuus (common sunflower). RNAcentral describes it as "hypothetical non coding rna". The record is from RNAcentral. Lineage: Eukaryota; Viridiplantae; Streptophyta; Magnoliopsida; Asterales; Asteraceae.